GCCCGGGUAGUUCAGUUCGGUAAAGCGUUAGGCUUUUAACCUAACGGUCCAGGUUUCGAGCCCCUGCUCGGGCG
This 74-nucleotide transfer RNA is filed under the name Rhipicephalus sanguineus (brown dog tick). Its description in RNAcentral is "transfer RNA lysine (anticodon UUU)". It matches the Rfam family "tRNA". From Rfam's summary of the family: Transfer RNA (tRNA) molecules are approximately 80 nucleotides in length. Their secondary structure includes four short double-helical elements and three loops (D, anti-codon, and T loops). Further hydrogen bonds mediate the characteristic L-shaped molecular structure. tRNAs have two regions of fundamental functional importance: the anti-codon, which is responsible for specific mRNA codon recognition, and the 3' end, to which the tRNAs corresponding amino acid is attached (by aminoacyl-tRNA synthetases). tRNAs cope with the degeneracy of the genetic code in two manners: having more than one tRNA (with a specific anti-codon) for a particular amino acid; and 'wobble' base-pairing, i.e. permitting non-standard base-pairing at the 3rd anti-codon position. Lineage: Eukaryota; Metazoa; Arthropoda; Arachnida; Ixodida; Ixodidae. The record is from Rfam by way of RNAcentral.